UUAACUUAUUUAGCUAAUUGCUCAGACUGCAAUCUUCAGACAGCGUUCAAUGGUGUCUUCGGCGGGCACGGGCCCGGGGGCAGAAGCCCCCCGGCGGCCGUGAGGCGGGCCCGCCAAAGCAACAAGGUAUAAUAAACACGGGUGGGAGGUUGGACCCAGAGGGCCCUCACUCGGUAAUGAUCCUUCCGCAGGUUCACCUACGGAAA
RNAcentral lists this unclassified non-coding RNA (206 nucleotides) under uncultured fungus. RNAcentral describes it as "sequence contains ITS1". The record is from RNAcentral. Lineage: Eukaryota; Fungi.